This is a non-coding RNA of Styela clava, 843 nucleotides long. The record is from RefSeq and is a predicted model, not a curated record. Lineage: Eukaryota; Metazoa; Chordata; Ascidiacea; Stolidobranchia; Styelidae.
UCCAGUAAGUCCUAACGGAGAUGUGACAGGAUGCAAUGAAUCGCAAAAUUAUAACGCAGAUACCAUACCAGCCAAUGCUGCUAACAUUACAAGUCAAAGAUUUCAAGAUAAAACAGGUUGCUGAUCUCUCGUUGCCAAAUAUUUGAUAGGAAGUUGCGACAUAUUAGGACAAAAAGUGGCAUGUAACUGACGCCUACUUGUGACAUGUCUUCGUGGCAGAACCGUGACUAUACAUUGGCGCCAUACCCAGUUCGAUUGAAGCGAAGGAGACUCAACAACCGAUUUAAAAUUUUUGGGAUUGCAGAGGCGAUAUUGGGAAUUUCCAGUUUUUGCAUCGGAGUUGCUAUUGAAUCACUGUCAGACUUGGAUAAUGAAAAUAAUAGAUCUGAAUGUGAACACUGCUCUAACAAAGGGAACACUGGUGCCGGUAUUUGGUGUGGACUGGUACUGUUAUGCAGUGGGAUUAUUUGUAUACUAAAGUCAAGAAGGCGAUCAAAGUAUUUUCAUUAUGCAUGUCUUAUAAGCGGUAUUAUUGCAGCAUUUGCAAUGAUUAUAAUGUUUAUUUUGUCUAUCCUUCACGCCUACCCGUUAGCCGUCAUUCAGACGGCCAUAUUGAGUAUUUUUCUUUGUGUAAUAAGCAUUGUAGGACUGGUAAUAUGCGUUCUGCAUGUGAUAGCUGUUUACAAAGGGAAAGACAUACUACAGCCGACUGUUGCUGUUAUGUACACUCGACCCUAUACUGGUGAACAAUACGUGCACUAUGAACACGGUGGAAUACUGCAAGGACAGUUUUUAUUUUCAGCGGAUGUGUUUGAAAAUAUAGACAGUCCGCCAUCAGUCUAC